This 448-nucleotide long non-coding RNA is filed under the name Gallus gallus (chicken). The record is from RNAcentral. Lineage: Eukaryota; Metazoa; Chordata; Aves; Galliformes; Phasianidae.
CUUGCUAAUACAUUUUACUGAGUGGGAGGAAGGAGAAGGUGGAGCUGAAAAUGAAGCCAGAGAACUAAACCACGCAGAGAAGGGGAUGGAAGCCCUGAGACUGCUCGGUGCAAGGGUGGUGGUAUAGGACUGCUCUGGGAGAGCAUAGUGUCUAUGCUACUGGCCAGCUUUGUGCAUGUAUGGGAACUGUUGAGUCCCAGCCUGAAGCACUGAUUGAGCACCUGGAGAAAGGAGCCGGUCAGCCCUAGGAGCACAGGUGAAGGUAGUUCAGCUGUGUGACUGUAAGGGGUGGAGCCUGGCUGCACCUCCCUUAGACCUCAUUUAAGGGCUGACCCCCCCUGGGGAUGGGUCUGUUUCUGGAGAUCCCUCUUUGGAGAAGCUUUCCCCUGCAAACCUGGAAUCUUCUGAUACUGGGUGGCUGGAAGGGCAAAAGCUGCAUUUCCCCACG